CCACACCUCCACCUACAUCAGCCUCCAUUAAUACAACCACUUCUGCUGGUUCCUCUCCUCCUUAUCUCCAUGUGCUGCUGACUGUUGGAUCAGUCUGUGUUGUGAUUCUACUGGUGUUAGUGAUUCUAUUGGUGAGACGAUGUGUUCACAGGAAGCCGAAAGAUGAUACUGGAAAUGCUAGUGAAGAUGACAUCGCUUACACUGACCUCAGAAUAUUACAUCACCAACAAAAGCCAAUCAGAUGGAGCAGAGACUGUGAUCCAGCUGCAGUCUACUCAGCAGUGAGAACAGAAGACGUCAGUUAUGGACAAAUUAUCAUCAAAGAUAAGAAAAAUAAAUCUAAUAUAAGAGGUAGGAGUGCUCAUUAUUUUUUAUAACUUGUAAAAAUUGUAUACACAUGCACAAGUCUGAUCUCCACUCUAAUCUAUGCAAGUUAAAGUUCUAGCAACAGGAUUUGGGUCAUCAUCAUCAUCAUACUUCCCCCUUUUUCUUUUUAGUUUGAACAUUUUUGACUUUAAUAAUGAGACCCAGCAGCUGCAGUGUAAUCUUAAACAUACUGAGCACUUUAACAUCAAGCAGGGAGAUGUCAAAAAGGCCUUCCACUUUGUGAAAGUGAAUAAGUUUCAUGGACCUGCUAAUAGUUGUUGUCAUUUGCUCAACAAUCCAUUAUAUUUUUAAAAAGUCUUUACAGGCACACCACACACCUAUUGUUUUGAAGGAUGUUGUUUUAUUGCCUGUUCCUAAGACUUGUCAUCCCAAAAUUUAAAAAAAAAAAAACAAGUUUAGUUGCUCUCACAUUGGUUGUGAUGAAAGUUCAGAAACUUGUGAAGUCAGAGAUUUUAAAGCAAACUGAACAUGUGCUUGACCUCCUCUAUAGAGGAAUGGAAGAUGCAGCUGCAAUCUUGCUGAACCUGGUUAUUUAACACCUGGAGGGAAAAACCUCUCAUGCUUGAUUAGUGUUUGUUGAUUUUUCUUCAGGCUUCAACAUAAUUUAGCCUGCUAUUUUAAUCUGAAGGCUUUUAGAACAGUUCAACAUGAAUAAAAAUCUUAUCGAUUCAAUUCUUGACUUUUUAACUAACAGGACCCAAAAACUUGAUUGAAUGUAAGUGCGGUCCUGUCCAACCAGGUCUGCUCCUCGACUGGCUCCCCACAGGAAUGCCAGCUCUUGUUCUUACUAUUUAUCCUGUACACAAAUAUUUGUUAGAGUAAUUUUGAAAAUAGGACCAUUUGAAAAUAAGCAGAUGAUUCUGUUAUUCUCUGUCUGCUCCGGGAAAAUGAAUCCAUCUGUGGCUCAGUUUGUGCUGAUUUUGUCAAAUGAUGUGAUGAGUCCUGCCUUCAGCUGAUGAUACUGAAGAACAUAUCAUUUAUUUUAGCAAAAGCACACAUACACACAAAGUUGAUUUUAUUAAGGGUCAUACUGUGGAAUGUUUUCAAUGUUAUAAAUAUCUUGGAACAGUUAAUGAUUCAAAGCUUAAUUGUACUGUGACACUGUGUGCAGAAAGGUCACCAGUGACUCACGUGUGAGAAAGCUUUCUCAUUUCCACAUUAACAAAACCAUGAUGAUUUUUUUUGUCAUUCUUUGAUUGAAUUAGUUUCGUCUUUUUCUUUGGUUUCAUGGUUCGCAUAUUUAUCUAUAAAGAACAGAAACUCACUCAAUCAAAUUGUUAAGUGGUUUAAUAGGCUGAUUGGUGAACCACAGCUGAACCUAGUAUCCCUGUACACCAGUUACAGCAGUUGACUAGCUCAAUUUUUGUUGACUCACACCUGUUUCAUAGUGAGUUUCACUUUUUUUUCCCCUUCUG
Haplochromis burtoni (Burton's mouthbrooder) is the source of this 1802-nucleotide long non-coding RNA. RefSeq lists it as uncharacterized. Lineage: Eukaryota; Metazoa; Chordata; Actinopteri; Cichliformes; Cichlidae. The transcript has 3 exons. The record is from RefSeq and is a predicted model, not a curated record.